Molecule: ribosomal RNA, 765 nt
Filed under: uncultured fungus
Lineage: Eukaryota; Fungi
Description: SSU rRNA
Rfam family: Eukaryotic small subunit ribosomal RNA
Source: RNAcentral
UUUAGCAUGGAAUAAUGGAAUAGGACGCGCGGUUCUAUUUUGUUGGUUUCUAGGACCGCCGUAAUGAUUAAUAGGGACAGUCGGGGGCAUCAGUAUUCAAUAGUCAGAGGUGAAAUUCUUGGAUCUAUUGAAGACUAACUACUGCGAAAGCAUUUGCCAAGGAUGUUUUCAUUAAUCAGGAACGAAAGUUAGGGGAUCGAAGACGAUCAGAUACCGUCGUAGUCCUAACCAUAAACUAUGCCGACUAGGGAUCGGACAGUGCUAUUCUUUGGCCUGUUCGGCACCUUGCGCGAAAGCAUAAGUGUCUGGGUUCUGGGGGGAGUAUGGUCGCAAGGCCGAAACUUAAAGAAAUUGACGGAAGGGCACCACCAGGGGUGGAGCCUGCGGCUUAAUUUGACUCAACACGGGGAAACUCACCAGGUCCAGACAUGAUGAGGAUUGACAGAUUGAGAGCUCUUUCUUGAUUUCAUGGGUGGUGGUGCAUGGCCGUUCUUAGUUGGUGGAGUGAUUUGUCUGCUCAAUUGCGAUAACGAACGAGACCUUAACCUACUAAAUAGCCCGCCUUGCUUUGGCAGGGUGCUGGCUUCUUAGAGGGACUAUCGGCUCAAGCCGAUGGAAGUUUGAGGCAAUAACAGGUCUGUGAUGCCCUUAGAUGUUCUGGGCCGCACGCGCGCUACACUGACACAGCCAGCGAGCUUUUCCUUGGCCGAAGGGUCCGGGUAAUCUUGUGAAACUGUGUCGUGCUGGGGAUAGAGCAUUGCAAUA